UCUAGUCCGACUUUGUGAAGUGACUUAGGAGGUGUAGCAUAAGUGGGAG
Molecule: ribosomal RNA, 49 nt
Filed under: Lingulaulax polyedra
Lineage: Eukaryota; Dinophyceae; Gonyaulacales; Lingulodiniaceae
Description: Lingulodinium polyedra partial Eukaryotic large subunit ribosomal RNA
Source: RNAcentral